RNAcentral lists this ribosomal RNA (511 nucleotides) under uncultured bacterium. RNAcentral describes it as "bacterial SSU rRNA". It matches the Rfam family "Bacterial small subunit ribosomal RNA", at positions 15 to 518 of the family's 1533-position model. The record is from RNAcentral.
GAUUAUGGCUCAGGAUGAACGCUAGCGACAGGCUUAACACAUGCAAGUCGAGGGGCAGCACGGGAGUAGCAAUACUUGGUGGCGACCGGCGCACGGGUGAGUAACGCGUAUGCAACCUACCUAUCAGAGGGGAAUAACCCGGCGAAAGUCGGACUAAUACCGCAUAAAACAGGGGCACCGCAUGGUGAUAUUUGUUAAAGAAAUUCGCUGAUAGAUGGGCAUGCGUUCCAUUAGGUAGUUGGUGAGGUAACGGCUCACCAAGCCGACGAUGGAUAGGGGAACUGAGAGGUUGGUCCCCCACACUGGUACUGAGACACGGACCAGACUCCUACGGGAGGCAGCAGUGAGGAAUAUUGGUCAAUGGGCGGGAGCCUGAACCAGCCAAGUCGCCGUGAAGGAAGAAGGAUCUAUGGUUCGUAAACUUCUUUUGCAGGGGAAUAAAGUGCAGGACGUGUCCUGUUUUGUAUGUACCCUGAGAAUAAGGAUCGGCUAACUCCGUGCCAGCCGCCGC